GUACUGAGGAGGCUGUUUGUGUCCCCGAACCAGUGCAGCAGGAGGAUCCUCCAUCCCAAACACCUCCAAAAGCCUCUUGAUCGCCUCGGAACGCACUUCUUUCGACUCGUUUUGCACCGUGAAGUGGUUUUCCAGUCGCUGAAGUCUUCCAGUAGGCGGCGCUGUGAUUAAGACUGGCACAGACAGGAAGUGAUGGCCAGAACGGUGCGGAUUUGGCCAUGUUGACUGAGGAAAGUGUGGCUCUCGUAGUCUUGAGGAACACAAGCGUUGCCCUGUCCUUCAGCCCACAGCAGACAUUCCCCGAGAUCUGACGCACUCCUGCAGAAACACAUGAAUCGACAGGAGAGAGUACUUUCUACUUGGACUCCAUCAUCGUUGUACGUGAUCUCGUAAUGAUACUCUACAUACGGGAUACGGUAACAUCCCUCCAUCAGUUUGCAUUGAGCCACUGUUUGGAUCAGCUCCACUUUGUUCGGAGUUUCAAUGAGGGUGGAAUCAAACUUAGUGGGAACGCAUGAAAAUCCCUCUGUAAGUAUGUUUUCAGCGAUGGUGCUCGGACACACUGGCUCAUUUUGGCUUCGCAGUGACAGUCCUCAAUGAUCUCCACCUCCCGCAGACCUUCAUACAGCAUCACACGGUCCACACGGACCCCGGCCGGCUCACAGCUGGAGCUCAGUCCGCAGGACGGGGAACCGCUCAUGGGGUCUGAGGAUGAUGACGAUGGAUCCAGACGUCUCAUCUAUAAUGGUUAUGGGAAAAAUAUUAAGUUGGGCUUCUAAGAUAUGAAAUCGAGCAUUGAGGAAUAUUUGGAAGCCCUCAGCCCCGCCUCUAAUGACGUGGCACGCGCUGAUUGGCCACAAUGCGUUCUGCACACGCCCACAUCAACAUUCACUGGACUGCCAGAAAUAUCUGUUACAUAAAAAUAAAGCAGGCUCCUGUCUCACCUUUGCCGAUGUAGAUGACAUGACUCUGGCGUCUGCAGCAGGCUCUCUCUGUGAACAGGUCUGAUGGACGGCGCAGAGCAGAAGAAACACAAACAGCGGCAGUAAAUCCAUCGUCAUGUUCUUCACACACACCACGUCAGGUCUGUUCCUUCAGUCCUGUUCCUCUGGGAUAUUUAUACCG
This is a long non-coding RNA of Megalobrama amblycephala (Wuchang bream), 1125 nucleotides long. RefSeq lists it as uncharacterized. Lineage: Eukaryota; Metazoa; Chordata; Actinopteri; Cypriniformes; Xenocyprididae. The transcript is spliced from 7 exons. The record is from RefSeq and is a predicted model, not a curated record.